RNAcentral lists this ribosomal RNA (252 nucleotides) under uncultured Bacteroidales bacterium. RNAcentral's name for it is "partial 16S ribosomal RNA". It matches the Rfam family "Bacterial small subunit ribosomal RNA", at positions 524 to 776 of the family's 1533-position model. The record is from RNAcentral. Lineage: Bacteria; Pseudomonadati; Bacteroidota; Bacteroidia; Bacteroidales.
UACGGAGGAUGCGAGCGUUAUCCGGAUUUAUUGGGUUUAAAGGGUGCGCAGGCGGAGGUGCAAGUCAGUGGUCAAAUUGCGGGGCUCAACCCCGUACUGCCGUUGAAACUGCAUCCCUUGAGUGCGCGAGAAGUAUGCGGAAUGUGUGGUGUAGCGGUGAAAUGCAUAGAGAUCACACAGAACACCGAUUGCGAAGGCAGCUUACAAAUCUAUAUCGGACGCUGAGGCACGAAAGCGUGGGGAGCAAACAGG